UGGUUCUGGCAUCGAUGAAGAACGCAGCGAAAUGCGAUAAGUAAUGUGAAUUGCAGACAUCAGUGAAUCAUCGAAUCUUUGAACGCACAUUGCGCCCGGCAGUAUUCUGCCGGGCAUGCCUGUCCGAGCGUCAUUUCAACCCUCAAGCCCCCGGGCUUGGUGUUGGGGAUCGGCUCGCCCCCCCGGGGCGUGCCGGCCCCGAAAUCCAGUGGCGGUCCCGCCGUCGGCUCCCUUGCGUAGUAGCAACACCUCGCACUGGAACGCGGCGCGGCCCUGCCGUAAAACCCCCGACUUUUAUCAUGGUUGACCUCGGAUCAGGUAGGAAUACCCGCUGA
This 335-nucleotide unclassified non-coding RNA is filed under the name uncultured fungus. RNAcentral describes it as "partial contains 5.8S ribosomal RNA and internal transcribed spacer 2". The stretch from base 1 to 133 matches the Rfam family "5.8S ribosomal RNA", at positions 22 to 154 of the family's 154-position model. Lineage: Eukaryota; Fungi. The record is from RNAcentral.